This 238-nucleotide ribosomal RNA is filed under the name uncultured bacterium. RNAcentral describes it as "partial 16S ribosomal RNA". It matches the Rfam family "Bacterial small subunit ribosomal RNA", at positions 96 to 334 of the family's 1533-position model. The record is from RNAcentral.
UGGCGGACGGGUGAGUAACGCGUGGGUAACCUGCCUCAUACAGGGGGAUAACAGUUAGAAAUGACUGCUAAUACCGCAUAAGACCACAGCACCGCAUGGUGCAGGGGUAAAAACUCCGGUGGUAUGAGAUGGACCCGCGUCUGAUUAGGUAGUUGGUGGGGUAACGGCCCACCAAGGCGACGAUCGGUAGCCGGACUGAGAGGUUGAACGGCCACAUUGGGACUGAGACACGGCCCAG